Molecule: long non-coding RNA, 200 nt
Organism: Arabidopsis thaliana (thale cress)
Lineage: Eukaryota; Viridiplantae; Streptophyta; Magnoliopsida; Brassicales; Brassicaceae
Product: other RNA
Exons: 2
Source: RefSeq
ACCACCGAGUCUGUAUCACCGCUGCAUAUGAUAGUGUAAACCACAGUUUGGUUAGUAGCCAAAUCCCAAAAUAGGUUUAGGUUCGAUCCUGAUUUGGCUCUGUGGUUUAUAUGUUGAUCCACGGUUAGGAAUCCGCCUAUGUCUAUGAUCCCGAGUUACAUUGGACCAUAGUUUACCUGAAAAUCCAGAUCCUCAAACCG